GCGGAGUUAGUCCAGCCUGGUAGGACGUCAGCUUCCCAAGCUGGAGGUCGCGUGUUCAAAUCCCGCACUCCGCA
Molecule: transfer RNA, 74 nt
Filed under: Candidatus Nitrosopumilus sp.
Lineage: Archaea; Thermoproteati; Nitrososphaerota; Nitrososphaeria; Nitrosopumilales; Nitrosopumilaceae
Also listed under: 4 other names
Description: Nitrosopumilus sp. tRNA-Gly
Rfam family: tRNA
About the family: Transfer RNA (tRNA) molecules are approximately 80 nucleotides in length. Their secondary structure includes four short double-helical elements and three loops (D, anti-codon, and T loops).
Source: RNAcentral